UACAGAGGGUGCGAGCGUUAAUCGGAAUUAUUGGGCGUAAAGGGUGCGUAGGCGGUUUGGUAAGUCUGAUGUGAAAUCUAUGGGCUCAACUCAUAGUCUGCAUCGGAAACUGCCGGGCUUGAGUGUGGGAGAGGUGAGUGGAAUUCCUGGUGUAGCGGUGAAAUGCGUAGAUAUCAGGAGGAACACCUGUGGCGAAAGCGGCUCACUGGACCAUAACUGACGCUGAUGCACGAAAGCUAGGGGAGCAAACAGG
RNAcentral lists this ribosomal RNA (253 nucleotides) under uncultured bacterium. Its description in RNAcentral is "partial 16S ribosomal RNA". It matches the Rfam family "Bacterial small subunit ribosomal RNA", at positions 524 to 776 of the family's 1533-position model. The record is from RNAcentral.